GUCGACGAAGUGAAAAGGACAGUCGAAAGAGAAGGGAGAGGAAGAGGAGGAAGAGGAAGAGGAGGAGGAACGUUUCGUGUCACCUGUGUGAGUCCACCUACCAGUCCUAAGAGAUCGGAUGGAAAUUGCUUGAAACUCUUUCAAAGAGAGGGAGAGAGAGAGAGAGAGGAGAGAGUGGGAGAGAGAAAAAGAGGGAGAUAAGAAGAAGAGCGCAAACGCGGUCGGUAGAUCGAGAAAAGCGAAUCUAGGGUACUCGGAGUAAACGCAAAAUUAGGUCCUAGACCGUCCCUACGAAGUAGGUCACAACGGCACAGGCGCACGGAGUAGCACAUACAUGAAGAGUGGAUAGUGCGUGUCAAAGCACCUACUAUAUCCCGUCGAAUUAGCAUGGAAACAAGAAGAAAGCUCGCAAGAAAUUUUCUCACAAUCGUCUCUCGACGUAUCAUCAACAACGUCCGCCGUUGUAAACCGUUGUCCCGAUGAAGUUUCCAACGAAAAGUACAACUCUAAUAUAUCGCAGAAUUUCAAUUCGCGAUAAGGAUAUGUAUAAUAAUAUUAAGGAUCCAACGCGAAGUAGAAAGGAAUAAAAGGUAAACAGGAUAAGUCGACCUAUGUUUACAACGUCCUUCAAGGUUUCCAUAGUCGAUUCGUACUGCUUCCAAUUCGAUCUAAUCGUCGAUCUUUCUCGAUAUUUAGGAAAAAUUUAACAAAAAUUAUAUCUAGAAUUUUAUCUAGAUCAUAUAAACGCUUCAAAAAUAUUAACUAUAAUGAAUAAUUAUGAUUA
Long non-coding RNA from Vespula vulgaris, 784 nucleotides. RefSeq lists it as uncharacterized. The transcript is spliced from 3 exons. NCBI's taxonomy places the organism in Eukaryota, Metazoa, Arthropoda, Insecta, Hymenoptera, Vespidae. The record is from RefSeq and is a predicted model, not a curated record.